This is a non-coding RNA of Mycena crocata, 97 nucleotides long. NCBI's taxonomy places the organism in Eukaryota, Fungi, Basidiomycota, Agaricomycetes, Agaricales, Mycenaceae. The record is from the annotation of a GenBank genome assembly.
GGGCAAAUAGUGUAGUUGGUUAUCGCGCCCGCUUCGCAUUCCGUUGAGGAUGACGUAAAGUUGCGGGAGGUGCUGGGUUCAAUUCCCAGUUUGUCCA